CCUACGGGAGGCAGCAGUGGGGAAUAUUGGACAAUGGGCGAAAGCCUGAUCCAGCAAUGCCGCGUGAGUGAUGAAGGCCUUAGGGUUGUAAAGCUCUUUUACCAGGGAUGAUAAUGACAGUACCUGGAGAAUAAGCUCCGGCUAACUCCGUGCCAGCAGCCGCGGUAAUACGGAGGGAGCUAGCGUUGUUCGGAAUUACUGGGCGUAAAGCGUACGUAGGCGGUUAUUCAAGUCAGAGGUGAAAGCCUGGAGCUCAACUCCAGAACUGCCUUUGAAACUAGAUAGCUAGAAUCUUGGAGAGGUGAGUGGAAUUCCGAGUGUAGAGGUGAAAUUCGUAGAUAUUCGGAAGAACACCAGUGGCGAAGGCGACUCACUGGACAAGUAUUGACGCUGAGGUACGAAAGCGCGGGGAGCAAACAGGAUUAGAUACCCUGGUAGUCCACGCCGUAAACGAUGAUAACUAGCUGUUCGGGCUCUACGAGCUUGAGUGGCGCNGCUACGCAUAAGUUAUCCGUCCGUGGGAGGUACGGUCGCGAGAUUAAACUACAAGAAGUAGUACGGCGNGAGACGUGCGACGGACGACGACGAGGGAGGAGG
This 597-nucleotide ribosomal RNA is filed under the name uncultured bacterium. RNAcentral describes it as "bacterial SSU rRNA". It matches the Rfam family "Bacterial small subunit ribosomal RNA", at positions 338 to 954 of the family's 1533-position model. The record is from RNAcentral.